AUUUUACUCACUCCGUUCGGAAUUACUUGUCGCAGAAAUGGAUGAAUCUAGACGUAUUUUAGUUCUAGAUACAUCCAUUUCCAAGACAAGUAAUUUCGAACGGAGGGAGUAGAUU
Molecule: non-coding RNA, 115 nt
Organism: Triticum aestivum (bread wheat)
Lineage: Eukaryota; Viridiplantae; Streptophyta; Magnoliopsida; Poales; Poaceae
Source: Rfam